RNAcentral lists this long non-coding RNA (12877 nucleotides) under Solanum lycopersicum (tomato). RNAcentral's name for it is "long non-coding RNA (SLYC_LNC000260)". The record is from RNAcentral. Lineage: Eukaryota; Viridiplantae; Streptophyta; Magnoliopsida; Solanales; Solanaceae.
CCAAUCUCGCUUGCAAUAUACAAAUACGAUUGGAAAGUUAAUCUCAAGGAAAAAGAAAAGGAAAUGUUUCCAUGAAAUAAGAAAAUUAUAAGGGAAGAAUAGCAUAAUGAAGUGAUAAGAGUUUAUUUAUAGUCUAAAUUAAUCCAUAAUUGAACAUGUAAAUUAAAAAAGAAAUAUGAGUUUCAUUAGCCAGAUAAUUUUCUUAGAAGUCCUUUGUUAGUUGGGUUUGACAAAUAUAGAGAGUUUACACUUCCAAAUAAUCAUAUCAAAGUGAAACAAGACCAAAAAUAAAGAUUUCGGUGUCUUAAUUAAAUUCCAAGCAUAUGUAAAGAUCAAUCUUAUUAGGAAGCACAUUUUCUGAAAAACGAAAACUCUAAAUCUACAGGCCAAAGUAGAAUGUAAACAUUAUUGUAAAUAACUUGCAAAAUGAAUAAGUAAUUGAAUAAAGAGCAUUCUUUUAGAAAUCCCAUAUUUCUCCAAUCUGUCUUCGAGUUGAUCUUCUUUGUCCUUCAACUUCCAAAGUUCAGUUGUGGCCUCAAAUCUUUCUUUUCUGGUAUCACUGCUACUUUCUUCCUGAUUUUUAAUAUUAUUCGUUCGCUGUUCUAUCUCUUGUCUCGUAUUUACCAGCUUCUCCUUGCUUCAAACUAGCUCGAACAACUGGAAAUGCAAAACUAACAAAGUUAGUGAACUCAAAAUAUCACAUAGAAUUGAAGUAGCUUCUAUUCUAAUAUAUUAAAAGAAAAAAUAUUUAGUAAUAUCACUUACUUUUUUUCCUUAAAUUAAUGUAAAAUAUUACCAAAAAUGAGAAUUGCCCCGUAUAUGAAAAAAUUGGAAAAUUGAUUAAACUCCAAUGAAUGAAAUAAGGAAAUAUAACAUAUUGUUCUUGUUUAUUUAUUUAUUUUGGGUUUGUUUCCUUCUUUUAUUUUAAAAAACUAGAAGAAAAUUAAGUACCAAAAAAUGAUUAUGCUAAAUUAACGUUCUUCCCGUAUAGUAUUAUUAUUUUCUUAUUUCAUGCAAACAUUUCCUUUUCUUUUUCCUCUAUGCUUUGCAAUGGAAUAUAUAUUCCUAGUCUACAAUAUGGUAAUUUUUGUUUUAGUAGAAAUAAUAUUUUUAAUUGGCACGAUUAAAAUAUUAAGUAAUGAAUUGCUGGUGUAAGUUCUUUCACUUUAAAAAAGAAAAAUUGUAAUUAAGAGGUAGAAGAAGUAAAGAAUCAGUAGAACAUGAAACUUUGCACCUUCACUUGUCAUUCACAGACAUAAGUGAAUCACAUUGUUCUUGGUAUCCAUUUUGUUGCUAUUGUUGGUGUCGAAAAAUUUUCAUGUUCAUCGAAAGUGUUUAAUCCACAGGACAAUGUAGAGAUUUUUCUUCUACAUGAGAAAUUAAAUGAAUAUCAAAAAUAUACAAUCAUACUAUUUAAAGAUGAAAGCUUUAGUGUUACAAUGAUUGGAUAGUCGGGCACGAAUUCAAAAUACAAAGUUGAAGAACUGCAAAUCAAAUCUGUAAUAGAAUAAAUAAAUCUCACAACCGGAAGGGGAAAUUUACCUUUGAGAAAGGAAGAUGAACAUAUGAUCUCUUGGUUCACCAUCCCGAUCCUUCACUCUGUGAGAAAAACAUUAGGAAUAAAUUAGCAAAAACUUCAUUCAAACUCAAUAUUUUCACAAGCAUGACAAUGAGAUAGUGAACAAACAUUUUAGAGGAAGUGUGUUUUCGCGAGAGGAAAAAUAAUUUUUUUAUCUGUCGGGAUUGAAUGUAUAUCACGCUAUGAAAACAAAAAUGAUAUCUAAAUUCAUUUCAACAUACAUAUUACCAUAAACUAAUCUAAAUUUUUAUAGUCCAAAAGCAUAUUCUUGAAAGGAUGAGUCGCACCACCUUAACACAGGAAGAGGAAAUACAACGAGGAAGAAAACCAAGAAGAUAUGAAAAACAUCCAGGAGAAAUUGAAGAGGAGAAAUAUUCAAUGUUUGAUAUAUUAUAAUUACUUUUAUAAUCUUUAUGAAAUUUGAAAAGAGUUUUAAUUAAAUUCAAUUUGUUGAUAAUCGUGAAAUCAGAGAUAAUGUCGAUUAGAGAUAAAACAUGAGUACUUCGUGAAACCUCUUUGAUACGCAAAUGAAAUUCAACCUCUGCAUUUCCUCAAAGACAAGUCAUUCAUGAAUGUUGUAAGAGAAAUUCAAUAGAUGAGGAGAAUGAAUGGAAGAAGAUUGAGAUAAGAAGCAUAACUGGAGGAAGUUUCCUUCGUUUGAAUUUCCUUUCAAAAAGAAUUGCAUGGCUUUUAGGUUUUGUUCAAAAUGAUUUACUGAAACAUUGUGUUUUUCUGAAGCAUUGUAUUUUUCUUUCAAAAUGUGUUUUUAUUUAAACACAGUAAAUAGUAACAAACAAUGUGAUGUUCUAGACAGGAGGGGAAGGGUACUUAUGUAAAUAAAGAAAUAAAAAGAGAAUCCUUGAUUCUGGUGACGCCACGUCACCGAUUGAGGGUUAUCUUUUAUAUAUAUAGAUAUGAUUGCUCAUCUCUUUUGUGGAUAUAAGUCGAUUGACCGAACUAUGUCAAGUCUUCGUUUCUUUUGAUAUAUUUAUCAUCCGUCUUCGUACUCAUUGUAUGUCUUUCCAAGUUUGCUUUACUAACUGUCGUAUGACACUUUCUUAUUUCGGUACUAACAAUUAGAAGUUUCACAUGGGAAUUACACAAACACUCUACUGACUUGCAAGCCGACACUAAAGGUUGAUUAGAAAAGAUCUGGCAACAACAAUCUAUGAAUCACAGAUAUACCAAAAUUGAAUUCUAUGAGAUUCAUGUACUGAUAUAGCACAAAUACAAACUGAGAUGAAACUUAGAAUAGAACAAGUCAAGUGUACAAAAGAGCUCAUAGUCAUAGAUAGGGGUAUUUAUGGGUUAGUUAUCGGUUGGGUUGUUAUCGGUUAGGUUCGAUUAUUUAGUUAUUAAUUAUAGAUGAAAUAAAUUCAAAACAAAAUAUACGAAGUAGAAAAGCAAAUUAAUUAGAAAACAAGCACAUGCUGACAUGACAUGUGAUAAUGUACUUUUUCAUUUCAAGUUGAAUUUUCACCAACAAAGGAGAAAAUGGAAUGAAAACCAGAAGAUCCAACAACUGUAUCAUGCCCAAAAUUGAUUCAAUUAAAUCCAACAAUAUAAUUCUUCUAUCCCUUCAAUCAUUAUUUUCACCGCCUUUUUCCACCAUACUACUUGUUAGUCAUAUCGUUUGAUUUGGAUCUAGAACCGCAAGGCAUUAAAACACGUCACUAGAUUAGUGUCAUGAGGUCUCCUAACUUUUAUACCUAAUAACUCUCACGUGUUAUUGUCGAUAUGGACUUCUUAUCUUAAUGAGAAGUGUCACGAACACCCUUGCUUAUGGACUCAAUGUCCUCACUGAGGUUUGCCCCACCAUUGUGAUUUUCCCCACCACUUGAGAUUUGUUACAACCUAGCAAAGAUGUUUGCCUCACCUUAGCGGAAUUUGGCUAAACUCAAGUUAAAUUUAGCUUGCAUCGACAUAGUUAACACAAAAGUUACUCUAAUACAAUAUGUAAUUGCCUAAACCACUAGUGAUAUUUUUCUAUUUGGGCAGACUUGCAAAACUUUUAAUGGCACCAUUAAAGUACUAAGGUCUACUAACUUAUGUAUGCUUAAUACCCCUCAUGUCUUUUGCUUAGAUGUUACUUAUUAUCCUAUAUUAGGGUGUAACACAUACAACCUGUCUCUUGACUUUCCAGAGAAAAACAAAUCAUUUUCACUUUAAAAACCAAGUGAGAGAUGGAUUCUUUAAUACUUUGAUCAAAUAAGUAAUGUACUAAAAAAUAAUUUCAACAAGCGAUUCAAAAUAAAAGAAAUACAGGCCUGAUAGUUGGUCAUACGAACCUGGACUCUAUAUAAAAUAGAACUUGUCUGCAAAAUAGAAGAUUUACGCAUUUCGAUCUAGACUUACAUUGAACAAUAGGCCUCCAGCUCUAGAGACAAUCCAAAUUAGACUCAAUAACUAAAUCAAACAUAAAAACCCUGCAUAUUGUUUUUUCACCAACUUAAAAACUACAAUUGAAAUCAAAUAAAAAGACCAUGGAUACUUUUUUUUAACCAACAAUAGACUACAUAUAAAGUAAAUAAGAAUCUAAAUUACUAUUUUGUUUCCAAGGAAACAAAACUUGAACUUUUUCACAUUCAUUGGAGUUUCUGAUCAACGAGUUUCCUCCCCUCCUCCUCCUCUUUCUUCUCCUUUUCAUCAUCAUCGUCUUCAUCUUUUUCUACUUCCUCCUCGUCCACCUCUAGUUCAUCAUGAUAUCCUCCAUAAUGAUGCUGCCAGUAGAACAACUUUAAUUACCUACUAAACUGAGAAUUCUCACACGUCAUUCCCAAAUGCAAGCAUUUACAAUUGACACAGAAAAGUCUCCAACAGUCAAGACAUGACCUAAUUAGAUAGUCCCUUAGAUCAUCAAUCAGUGUACCCAUACAUUCCAUAAAAGGGAAAUCAAUAACUAUUGGUGAAGCUAGAUCUUCUGUUAGUCGAAUGACAUUUCUUUCUUGCAUAAGAAAAUCAACCUGCAUUAUUGAAUCGAUAUCUAAAAUUGCAUUGGAAUAUAUAAGAAGCAUAUCACUUCAUAGAAAUCAUCUCAUUGAUAUCCUUAUUAAUUUUUUGCCUAUAUAAUUUUGUACGCAUUCUUCACAAUAGCGAUGAUUGCAGUUAGUGCCCCGCUUCAUUGCCUUUGACAGUGGAGACACAUUUUCACAAAAAGUACAUGAAGAUUCUCCCUUUUUAGAAGUAUUUUCUUUAGGUUAAGUGAAUUUUGAAUAACAGAAUACUCAGUUUUUACAGGAUUUUUUUACCAACACCGUGAUCAUGGCUUGAUUCCAAGUUCUUAUCUAAAUGAAACUGAGUUGAGUAGAAGAGAAUAUUUUGUAUCUCGAUAUCAUUAUCUCCACUCGCAUAACCGUUUUUAUUUUUAGUGAUACCGAUGACAUUAAAAUUCAGCAAGGUGGGAUCAACUUUGAUUUUGCCGUAGUGCAAGAUUUGCAAAUCUGUUGAUUCCAUUUCAGCUUGAUUCUCCGUCCAUGGGACCCCUUAUUUCUUUCCUAAUAUAUGCAUAUAUAUUGUAAAUAUACUAUUUUUUUACAGCAUAUAUGCAUAUAUUGGGAAAGAAAUAUAAGGUCCCAUAGAAAGAUAAUCAAGUUGAAAUGCAAUCAACAAAUUUGAAAAUCUUGCACUCCAACAAAAUCAAAGUUGAUCCCACUUUGCUAAAUUCUAAUGUCAUCGCUAUCACAAAAAAUAAAAACAAUUACAAGAGCAGAUAUAAUGAUAUCGAGCUACAAAACAUUCUCUUCUACUCAACUCAAUUUCAUUUAGGUAAGAAUUUGGAAUCAAAGUCUAAUCACGGUGUUGGUAAAAAUAUGUAGAAAUUGAGUAUUUUGUUAUUCAAAAUUCACUUAACCUAAAUAAAAAUACUUCUAAAAAGGGAGAAUCUUCAUUUACUUUUUUGUGAAAUUUGUAAAAAUGUGUUUCCGCUGCCAAACAAAAUGAUGUGGGGCACCAAUUUCAAUCAUCGUUAUUGUGAAGAAUGCAUACAAAAUUAUAUAGGCAAAAAAAUUAAUAAUGAUAUCCAAGAGAUGAUUUCGACGAAGUUCCCUACAUCUGAUUGCAAUAGAAUUUUAGAUAUCGAUUCAAUAAUGCCGGUUGAUUUCCUUAUGCAAGUAAGAGAUGCCAUUCGACUAACGGAUGUUAUGGCUUCGCCAAUAGUUAUUGAUUGCCCUUUUAUGGAUGUAUGAUUACAGUGGUUGAUAAUAUCCGAUUAUGGCAUAUCCUGAGUGUUUGAUACUUUUUCUGUGUCAAUUGUAAAUGCUUACAUUUGGGAAUAACAUGUGAGAUUUAUCAGUUUAGUAGGCAAUUAAAUUUUCUCUACUAGAAGAACCAUUAUGGAGGAUAUCAUGAUGGACUACAGGAGGACGAGGAGCAAGAAGAAGAAAAUGAAGAUGAUGAAGAAGGAGAAGACGAAGAAAGAGUAAGAAAAGGGGAGCAAACUCAAUGAUCAUAAAUUUCAACGAAUGUAAAAAAGUUGAUGUUUGUUUCCUUGUAAACAAAAAGGCAAUUUGGAUUCUUAUUUAUUUUAUAUGUAGUCUAUUGUUGAUUAAAAACAGUAUGCAGUGUUUUUUAUUUGAUUUUAGUUGUAGUUGUUAAGUUGGUGAAAAAAUAAUAUGCAAGGUGAUUAUGUUUGAAUCAGUUAUUGAGUAGAUUUGGAUGGGCUCUAGCGGUGGAGGCCUAUUGUCCAAUAUAAGUCUAGACCAAAAUGCGUAAAUCUUCUAUUUUGCAGACAAGUUGUUCUAUUUUACAUAGAGUCUAGGUUUGUAUGACCAACUAUCAGGGCCAUAUUUCUUUUAUUUUGAAUCGCUUGUUCAAAUUGUUUUUAACUAUAUCACUUAUUAGAUCAAAGUAACAAAGAAUUCAUCUCACAGUUGGUUUUUAAAGUAAAAAAUGAUUUAAUUCUCUUUGCAAAAUUAGGAGAGAAGGUUGUAUGUGUUACACCCUAACUUAGGAUAAGGAGUAACAUAUAAGCAAAAAAAUCAUGAGAGAUGUAAAGUAUAUGUAAGUAUGUAGACCUUGUACUUUAAUGAUCCCUUUAAAAGUUGUGCUGAUCAAUGCCGAUAUAGAAGAAUAUCACUAGUGGGUUAGACAAUUACAAAUGGUACUAGAGCAACUUUUGAGUUAACUGUGUCGAUGCAAGUGAAAGUAACUUGAUUUUAGAAAAAUUCUGAUUAGGUGAGGCAAGCAUCUUUGCUAGGCCUUGACAAAUCUCAAGUGUUGGGGAAAAUCACAAUGGUGGGGCAAACCUCAGCGAGGACUUGAGUCCAUAAGAGAGGUUGCUUGUGACAUAUCUCCUAGGAUAAGAAGUUCACAUCGACAAAAACACAUGAUAAGUAAUCAGAUCUUACACUUUAGUGGUGCGUUCUAAAGUAUGGUGGGUCUAGGGCGAAAUGAAAACUAUCACUAGCGAACGAACUAUUGUUUGGUUGGAAAAGGAAACGUAGAUUUAUGUACAUAUAUAUAAUUGGUAGAGUAUUUUUUCUCAUUUCACUCAAAGAAAAAUUACAACGGGAGAGUUUUCUUAUAUUAUGAAGAGUAGAAUUAAUUUGAUUCAACAUUUUCUAGGAUGUUACAGAAAAAUCAUUGAGCUAUGUUUGCUUGGUUUUAAGAACCUAAGAAGGUUUCCAUGUUUUAGCAAAGAAUAUCAUAAAUCUCUGGAACUAUCUUUCUGUUCUAGCUUACAGAAAUUUCUAGAAAUCUUGGGAACAGUGAAGCCGAAGUUGAAGAUUAUCAGGCAUAAGUACUUCGGUAUAAGGGAACUACCAUUAUCUGUAUCAAUACCUAGAUAGCUUAUAUUGGAGAGAGUUUAGAAGAGAAUACUUCAGAACUUGUGUAUUGCUAAAAGAUUUCAAUGAUAUAAAUAUAUGAAGAGACUAAAUGUUGGUGUAUAGAUACAUUUUAUUAUUAAAAUAAAAUAUCAAAUGUAUAUGUUAGUGGAUAUAAAUUGUGGUAGAAGAUGACUAUUGGUUCUUGUAACUUAUAUGAUUAUUAGUUCUUGUUACUCUCAUGGUCAUUAGUUUCUGUAACUAUAUGACCACUAGUUUCUUGUAACUUAUGUAACAUCUAUCAUUCAUUUACCUACAUUACUACCCAUCAUUCUACCCAUUGACUAUACUGAAGACUUCUUCACCAGUAAAUAGUGGUGUUUCUAUCGAAAAAAGAUAAGUAUGAAAUAAUAUUGUAGUGUGUAGUAGUGAAAGAGAGAAUUGAGGAAGAAAGAUGUUCUUUUUGUGAAGCUUUGGGCUCUUCAACUAAUUCGGAGUUGCUUGAGUUACAUGACAUUGUUUGACUGUUGUAUCAUGGGACAAGUCAACAGUGAUACUGCUUGAUCAGCGUAAAUUAUGCCCUCAGUGGGCUUGAAUCUUCUUAAAGAGAGCGAAAUGUCUGCACCUCAACCUAAAGAUUUUGUUUUCUUUGUCAUUUCAUUUCAAUUGGAAUUUUUAUUAUUUUUGGUAUAGUACACCAACAAUUUUAAGGAAAAUGAUGUUUUGUUAUAGUUUGGGAAAGUGUGAAUAUCAAGAUAGGAGAUUACAACAUCAUUCCGCUUCAACGUCGCUCCUUCCGAGAGAUGGAAGAGAAGAAAUUUACAAAAAAAAAAAUUUAUAUAGUGGGGUUCAUGAAAUAAGAAAAAACCAUUGUGAAAAAAUGGUUUUUGCAUUUUUGAGAAACGCUCUAAAAAGGACAUUACAAUUGCAUAUAUUUAAUGUGGAAUAAAUCACAUUUUUUCACUCUAAUGAGAUGAUGUUUGGCUCUAACAGGAGAGUUAUAAAUGAAUUAUGAAAAACAUAAAUAGUAGUCAUUUUUGAAAUGUUUUGAGUGAGAUAAGUUUUAUUUUUGGAAUGAAAAAAUACCAUAAAACAUGUGAUUGAUUUUUCUUUGUCAAGUCACAUAGUAUUGAAAUAACUGUGUAUACAUUUUAUUAUUAUAAAAUAAAAUAUGAAAUGUAUAUGUUAGUGAGUAUAAAUUGUUGUAGAAGAUGACGAUUGAUUAUUGUAACUUAUAUGAACAUUAGUUCUUGUAACUCUCAUGGUCAUUAGUUUCUUAUAAUUCAUAUGACCAUUAGUUUCUUGUAACUUUUGUAAUAUCUAUCACAUUCAUCUACCCGCAUUACUAGUCCUCAUUCUACCAAUUGAUUAUAUGGAAGACUUCUUCACCCAUAAAUAAUGGUGUGUGUUUUUCUUUGUGAAGGAUUUCAAAAAAUAAAUAAAUAGGCAGUUUGAAAUAAUAUUUUAGUUUGUAGUAGUGAAAGAGAGAGUUAAGACAAAGAAAAUAUUGUAAGUCUUCAACUAUAUUCACUAUAUAAAAGAGAUUAUUUAUAUAUUGAAGGAAGAUAUUCUUUUUGUGGAGCUUUGGACUCUUCAACUAAAUCAGAGUUGUUUGAGUUGUGACGUUGUUGGCCUAUUGUAUCAUGUAGAGGACACUCAAGAGUGAUACUUCUUGAUUGGUGUGAAUUAUGUUGCAGUGGACUUGAAUCUCUUUAAAGAGAACGACAUAUCGCACCUCAGCCUAAAGAUUUGUUUAUUCUUUUUGGAGAGAGGAACUGGAUUUUCACAUGUAUCUAUAAUAGAGAUAUUAUCACAGUAUAUUGUGAGAGGUGGAACAUAAUAAAACAUUUCCUAAAGAAGGGAUUUGACCAAUUGAACUUUGAUAGUUGUUGCAACGACGACCCUAUAUUCAGCUUCAACGGAUGAUCUAGCAACUGUCAUUUUCCUCCUAGAACUCCAGCUAAUUAGUUAAUGACCAAAAUAUAAAAAAGAACCUAGAAGUUGAUGCUCUAUCGGAUGGAUCAACAACACGAUCGACAUAAAAGAAAUCAUGAAACUUUAAAGGAGAUUUUGGAGUAAUAUGGAGACCAAAGGCAAUAGUAGAUUUUAGAUAUCGUAGCAGAUGUUUGUGAUCCAACCAAUGAUGAUGAUUAGGACAAUGCAUGAACUGGGAGAGUUUGUUGACAGUAAAGCCAAUAUCAGGCCUCGUAAAAUUUAGAUAUUGCAACUAAAGAAUGUGUAGCAGAAAUUGAGUAAAGAAUGUGCAGUGGAAAUUGGAGCAACACUUCUUUAAACCCCAAGAAAGGAAAAUUCCUUUUAAUGCUUUAUGAACAUCAACACCAAGAAAGAGAUGACUCAUGGGGAUCCUUCAAUUAGAACCGGACUCCAAGGCCUUCAAUAAAUUGUUUGAUGAAGGAUGAGUUGUUACCUGAGAGAUUAUCUACAUGUGGCACCUUUACGAUAUAUGAAAAGAGGGUGAUCACUUUGUAAUUGCUAAAAACCAUACUUCAAGGCAAAUGAUCAUAGGGCUUGGUACCAUGCCCUUAGGGCUUGCUUAAGUUUGUAGAGAGAGAGUUGACUAAUUUAUAGAGAUGGUGUUGUUUGGCUAGAUCACGAAUCCUGGUGGUUGUUCCAUGAACACAUGCUUUUCUAAUGGACCAUGCAAGAAGGUGUUAUUCACUUCCAAUUGAAAUAGAGGCCAUGGAUCAGCUAAAGUAAGAACCACACGCAUUGUUACAGACUUAACUAUUGAAUUUCUCACAAAAAUUGAUUCCAGAUCGUUAGUUGUAUCCCUUUGCAAGCAACUAAGUCUUGUAUUUUUAUGUGAACCAUCUGCAUUCCUUUAGACCCUAAAAAUUCACUUUCAACCGACUAAAUUUUGUUGAGAAUCUAUAGGGACAAGAACUCAAGUACCAUUUUUAGUUAAUGCACUGAAUGUAUAUGACAUAGCAUAGCGCCACUCAAGAUGGGUCAGAACUUGUCCAUUUGUUGUUGGUUGUAGUACUGCCGGUAAAGGAUGUUCGGUGACAUGGUGAACAAAUUUAAGUAUAUAAAUGUUAUAAUUUUGAAAGAGUGACCAUGAUAUGAGUGUGUGGAAAUGAAGAGGAAGGAAUGUUAUUUUUGUUGGAGGAGAAUGAUUAGUGUUCUCCAUUGAAGGAGAAGGAUCAAAAGGUAAUGACAAUUAUUCAACAAAAUGAUUGGCAAGCAAGGAUGAAGUAGGAAAGGAAUUUGAUUCAAAUGGAAUUAUAGUGUGAGAAAAUGUAGUAGAAGGGAUACCAUGCCAAUUUGAAUUUGACUGAGAAUCUGAAGUAUGUGUUUGAUACAGAAUUUUAUUAAAGGAAGACAACAUGACUUGAGGUAAUGUACCUCUUACACUUAAGAUCAUAGCAAACAUAUGCACUCUGAUGCAAAGAGUAACCAAGAGAAAUGCAAGGGACAAACUCGAGAUCAAAUUUGGACUUGGUAUAAGGACGACGACAAGGAUAACAUAAGCCAUCAACAAAACGCAAAAAUUGAUAAUUUUGACAACGGUUAAAAAGCUUUUGAUAGGGAGAGUAAAAUUAAAGAAGUGGUGUGAGAAUAUGGUAUGUGUUUUUUUUUAAAAUUCAAAAGACUAAAAGGAAGAAUGGAGGGAUGUUUUUUGGAGUAUGUAAUUAAGACCAGUUUCAACUAAGUGACAAUGGCGACUUUCUGCAGCCCCAUUGUGUUGUGGGAUGUCAGGUGGUGUUUGUAGAUGAUUUAUUCAAUAAGAUUGAAUAUAUUUUUUUAAGUGAAACAUAUUAUCCACCCCAUCGGUGUAAGUUUAUUUUAUCUUGACAUUAAAGUUAUUUUUGAAAAGUUUUUGAAAUGGUGGAAAAAUAGUAUAACACAUUUAAUUUAGCCAUUGAAGAAAAGAACCAAAUAUAUUUUAUGUAAUGGUCUACAAAGAUGAUAUAGUAACCAAACCCAACAACUGAUUGAACAGGGGCAGGACCCCAUAAAUCAUAGUAUAAUAUCUCAAGAGGUCUACUAACUGUUAGAGGAGAAACACCAAAGGAUUGACGGUGACUUUUAUUGAAUUGGAUGCUUUGUAACUAAAACUUGGACAAACUGAAAUUAUAGAUCCUAGCAUUAGGAUGACCAAGAAAUUGAUGCCAAGACUAUGGUGAAACGUGAACGCUGAAGCACACAUAUUUAUUUGAAACUACAGAGGAAAAAACUUGAUCAAAAUUGAUCAAGUGCUCAUUUGAACUGAAUCUCCUUUGUGAAUUGAUCUUUCACAAGAAAAUAUUCAGAAAAGAACUCAAUAACUCAAUUAACAAUUGGUUUGAAGUAUAAAAUUGUGAUACAUAUAUGAGGUUGAUUAUUCAGAUAAGGGAAAACAUAAAACAUUAGAAAUAUAUAAUUUUUUUGCUGGGAGAAAAAUAGUACCAUAACCAACAUGUGAGAUAGACAAACCUGAGCCACUUUUGUCACUACCGUCAUAUAGCGAAUAAAGAUAUAGGUGAUCACACACAAAUUACCGAGAAAAGUCCAAGAGUAGAGUUUGUCAUCAAUUAAAAAACCCAACUAAGAGUCAGAGUCAAAUUCUAGAGGAAACAAUUUAUCGGCAAUUGAAAAGACAGAAUCAAGAGUUAAAAGUUUGAACCUAAACACUGAACUUACAAUGCUAUCAAAUUAAGAGAGAUUUUUUUUAACUAAGCAAAGGAUUUGGGAAGAGACAAUAAGAAACAAGGGAUAAUUGGGAUUUAGGGAAUUCAGAAUUUAACAACCAUUCAACGAUCCAUGCAAAUUAAUCAAAGGUAGGCUAGAUAAUCAUCAAAUAACACUUAACUCUUUUUUUUUUUUAUCUCAAAGUGCUUUCUCAUUUUCAACAAUAGUACAAUCCAAUACCUUAAUCUAAACCUCUAUUUCUAGAAAGUUUAGCUUUCAACAAGGUAAACCUUAAUUAUCUUCUUCCGUUCUCAAAUUUAGGAAUCAAAGUUAAACAUUAUUAUCAAUCUAAUUCUCCAUUCAUGAAUAAUUUUUUAAGCUACCCAUGAAGAUCAGAAUUUAGAUUCAAGCGUCCACUCUCAAAUCAUUAAUUAAAGCAUGAGAAAUAGAUCAAAACCUAGUCAUGAAAACUUGGAAUCACAUACGAAAUCAUUAGAACGAACAAUCAAGACCCAAAUAAAUUAUCUAUUUCUAGCAUAAAGUUCCAAUUUCAAAUAGCAAUUACACCCACAUAUCUAGCAAUUUAGAGGAAGGAAAUGAAGAAGGGAAUAAGGGAUUUACCAAAUAGAGCACAAUCUUCAAAUCCACAACUGAAAUGUAAGGCAACUUGCCUUUAGUGUACCAAAUGGAAAUCUACAAUUUUUGUCUCUAGAUCUAAGAUAAAAGAUGAUUACUCUACAAAUUUGAAAUUGAAAUUGUUCAAUGAUAUUCCAUGCUGCCUCUUUCCAGCCCUUUUGUGAGAAUUAGGGUUUCAAUACUUGAAAAUUUCCAAUUCUGUCCUUUUAAAAAUAGGUGGGCCUCACGAAUGUGGUUCAGAAUUCCACUAUUAGGGAGUUGAUAAAAG